Non-coding RNA from Paramuricea clavata, 233 nucleotides. The record is from the annotation of a GenBank genome assembly. Lineage: Eukaryota; Metazoa; Cnidaria; Anthozoa; Malacalcyonacea; Plexauridae.
AAUCUCAAUUUUACGUCCUUCAAAUAGCUGCUAAAACUUUCAUUUCUUGGCACCAAUACCUUUCAAACAUGCUGAAUUCAUCCAUUUACUUAAUUUGCAUAUUGUUAUUUUACUUUUUAUACAAUAACAAUAUGGAAAUUAGGUAAAUGCACGAAUUAAACAUGCGCGAUAUAGGCAUUGCUCCCAAAGAAUGAAAGGUUCAGCGGCCAUUUAAAGGAUCCAAAAUUAAUAUU